AUUGAACGCUGGCGGCAUGCUUUACACAUGCAAGUCGAACGGCAGCGCGGGCUUCGGCCUGGCGGCGAGUGGCGAACGGGUGAGUAAUACAUCGGAACGUGCCCAGUAGUGGGGGAUAGCUCGGCGAAAGCCGGAUUAAUACCGCAUACGACCUGAGGGUGAAAGCGGGGGGUCUUCGGACCUCGCGCUAUUGGAGCGGCCGAUGGGAGAUUAGCUAGUUGGUGGGGUAAAGGCCUACCAAGGCGACGAUCUGUAGCUGGUCUGAGAGGACGACCAGCCACACUGGGACUGAGACACGGCCCAGACUCCUACGGGAGGCAGCAGUGGGGAAUUUUGGACAAUGGGCGAAAGCCUGAUCCAGCAAUGCCGCGUGUGUGAUGAAGGCCUUCGGGUUGUAAAGCACUUUUGGCGGGAACGAAAAGGACUGUGCCAAUACCACGGUUCGAUGACGGUACCCGCAGAAUAAGCACCGGCUAACUACGUG
This 484-nucleotide ribosomal RNA is filed under the name uncultured bacterium. RNAcentral's name for it is "partial 16S ribosomal RNA". It matches the Rfam family "Bacterial small subunit ribosomal RNA", at positions 29 to 507 of the family's 1533-position model. The record is from RNAcentral.